RNAcentral lists this ribosomal RNA (325 nucleotides) under uncultured Pseudomonadota bacterium. RNAcentral's name for it is "bacterial SSU rRNA". It matches the Rfam family "Bacterial small subunit ribosomal RNA", at positions 29 to 351 of the family's 1533-position model. The record is from RNAcentral. Lineage: Bacteria; Pseudomonadati; Pseudomonadota.
AACGAACGCUGGCGGCGUGCUUAACACAUGCAAGUCGAACGCGAAAUUUUUCUUCGGAAAGAGAGUAGAGUGGCGCACGGGUGAGUAACGCGUAAGUUAUCUACCUCGGCAUCUGGAAUAACUCACCGAAAGGUGUGCUAAUACCGGAUACGUUGAGUAAUCAAGAAAGGUGGCCUCUGAAUAUGCUACCGUGCUGAGAUGAGCUUGCGUACCAUUAGCUAGUUGGUAGGGUAAUGGCCUACCAAGGCGACGAUGGUUAGCGGGUCUGAGAGGAUGAUCCGCCACACUGGAACUGGAACACGGACCAGACUCCUACGGGAGGCUG